This is a non-coding RNA of Pediococcus claussenii ATCC BAA-344, 371 nucleotides long. It matches the Rfam family "transfer-messenger RNA". From Rfam's summary of the family: Bacterial tmRNA, also known as 10Sa RNA or SsrA, is named for its dual tRNA and mRNA-like properties. Lineage: Bacteria; Bacillati; Bacillota; Bacilli; Lactobacillales; Lactobacillaceae. The record is from Rfam.
GGGGUCGUUAAGGAUUCGACAGGUGUGGGUUGAACCGUGAUUGCACUUCGUAGGUUGCGACUACGUUAAAACGCUCAGUUUAAAUUAUAACUGCAAAAAAUAAUAACAAUUCUUACGCUUUAGCUGCUUAAUACCAGCUUAGUGUAGAUCCAGCUAACUUUGUUCGCGGGUUUGAUCUGGGUCCUAAAUUAGCGGACUUGCGCUUAGUCAUUUCGUUUGGAUGAUUAAGAAGAGGAUUUUCAGACUAGUGGUUCAUGGGUGCCCUGUCAUACGGCGUUUUGAAUCAUGAAACUUAAAUAGUAUGAAUAUAAGUGUAGAGGUUGCGGUGGCAACAUGCUUGGACGCGGGUUCGACUCCCGCCGACUCCAUUU